GGCGAACGGGUGAGUAACACGUGGGUAAUCUGCCCUGCACUCUGGGAUAAGCCUGGGAAACUGGGUCUAAUACUGGAUAUGACCUUUCUCCUUAUGGGGUUUGGUGGAAAGUUUUUCGGUGUAGGAUGAGCCCGCGGUCUAUCAGCUUGUUGGUGGGGUGAUGGCCUACCAAGGCGACGACGGGUAGCCGGCCUGAGAGGGUGAUCGGCCACAUUGGGACUGAGAUACGGCCCAG
This 235-nucleotide ribosomal RNA is filed under the name uncultured Actinomycetales bacterium. RNAcentral's name for it is "partial 16S ribosomal RNA". It matches the Rfam family "Bacterial small subunit ribosomal RNA", at positions 97 to 334 of the family's 1533-position model. The record is from RNAcentral. Lineage: Bacteria; Bacillati; Actinomycetota; Actinomycetes; Actinomycetales.